RNAcentral lists this ribosomal RNA (1343 nucleotides) under uncultured bacterium. Its description in RNAcentral is "16S ribosomal RNA". It matches the Rfam family "Bacterial small subunit ribosomal RNA", at positions 28 to 1378 of the family's 1533-position model. The record is from RNAcentral.
GGCGAACGCUGGCGGCGUGCUUAACACAUGCAAGUCGAACGGAAAGGCCCUGCUUUUGUGGGGUGCUCGAGUGGCGAACGGGUGGGUAACACGUGAGUAACCUGCCCUUGACUUUGGGAUAACUUCAGGAAACUGGGGCUAAUACCGGAUAGGAGCUCCUGCUGCAUGGUGGGGGUUGGAAAGUUUCGGCGGUUGGGGAUGGACUCGCGGCUUAUCAGCUUGUUGGUGGGGUAGUGGCUUACCAAGGCUUUGACGGGUAGCCGGCCUGAGAGGGUGACCGGCCACAUUGGGACUGAGAUACGGCCCAGACUCCUACGGGAGGCAGCAGUGGGGAAUAUUGCACAAUGGGCGGAAGCCUGAUGCAGCAACGCCGCGUGCGGGAUGACGGCCUUCGGGUUGUAAACCGCUUUCGCCUGUGACGAAGCGUGAGUGACGGUAAUGGGUAAAGAAGCACCGGCUAACUACGUGCCAGCAGCCGCGGUGAUACGUAGGGUGCGAGCGUUGUCCGGAUUUAUUGGGCGUAAAGGGCUCGUAGGUGGUUGAUCGCGUCGGAAGUGUAAUCUUGGGGCUUAACCCUGAGCGUGCUUUCGAUACGGGUUGACUUGAGGAAGGUAGGGGAGAAUGGAAUUCCUGGUGGAGCGGUGGAAUGCGCAGAUAUCAGGAGGAACACCAGUGGCGAAGGCGGUUCUCUGGGCCUUUCCUGAUGCUGAGGAGCGAAAGCGUGGGGAGCGAACAGGCUUAGAUACCCUGGUAGUCCACGCUGUAAACGGUGGGUACUAGGUGUGGGGUCCAUUCCACGGGUUCCGUGCCGUAGCUAACGCUUUAAGUACCCCGCCUGGGGAGUACGGCCGCAAGGCUAAAACUCAAAGGAAUUGACGGGGCCCCGCACAAGCGGCGGAGCAUGCGGAUUAAUUCGAUGCAACGCGUAGAACCUUACCUGGGUUUGACAUGGAUCGGGAGUGCUCAGAGAUGGGUGUGCCUCUUUUGGGGUCGGUUCACAGGUGGUGCAUGGCUGUCGUCAGCUCGUGUCGUGAGAUGUUGGGUUAAGUCCCGCAACGAGCGCAACCCUUGUUCACUGUUGCCAGCACGUUAUGGUGGGGACUCAGUGGAGACCGCCGGGGUCAACUCGGAGGAAGGUGGGGAUGACGUCAAGUCAUCAUGCCCCUUAUGUCCAGGGCUUCACGCAUGCUACAAUGGCUGGUACAGAGAGUGGCGAGCCUGUGAGGGUGAGCGAAUCUCGGAAAGCCGGUCUCAGUUCGGAUUGGGGUCUGCAACUCGACCUCAUGAAGUCGGAGUCGCUAGUAAUCGCAGAUCAGCAACGCUGCGGUGAAUACGUUCCCGGG